CCAACGGUCCUCUUAAGGACCACUAAAAAAAUUAUUUACUUACUUU
This is a non-coding RNA of Strongyloides ratti, 46 nucleotides long. Lineage: Eukaryota; Metazoa; Nematoda; Chromadorea; Rhabditida; Strongyloididae. The record is from Rfam.